UAAUGAUGGCCAGGCUGUCUCCACCCGAGACUCAGUGAAAUUGAACUCGCUGUGAAGAUGCAGUGUACCCGCGGCAAGACGGAAAGACCCCGUGAACCUUUACUAUAGCUUGACACUGAACAUUGAGCCUUGAUGUGUAGGAUAGGUGGGAGGCUUUGAAGUGUGGACGCCAGUCUGCAUGGAGCCGGCCUUGAAAUACCACCCUUUAAUGUUUGAUGUUCUAACGUGGACCCGUGAUCCGGGUUGCGGACAGUGUCUGGUGGGUAGUUUGACUGGGGCGGUCUCCUCCUAAAGAGUAACGGAGGAGCACGAAGGUUGGCUAAUCCUGGUCGGACAUCAGGAGGUUAGUGCAAUGGCAUAAGCCAGCUUGACUGCGAGCGUGACGGCGCGAGCAGGUGCGAAAGCAGGUCAUAGUGAUCCGGUGGUUCUGAAUGGAAGGGCCAUCGCUCAACGGAUAAAAGGUACUCCGGGGAUAACAGGCUGAUACCGCCCAAGAGUUCAUAUCGACGGCGGUGUUUGGCACCUCGAUGUCGGCUCAUCACAUCCUGGGGCUGAAGUAGGUCCCAAGGGUAUGGCUGUUCGCCAUUUAAAGUGGUACGCGAGCUGGGUUUAGAACGUCGUGAGACAGUUCGGUCCCUAUCUGCCGUGGGCGCUGGAGAACUGAGGGGGGCUGCUCCUAGUACGAGAGGACCGGAGUGGACGCAUCACUGGUGUUCGGGUUGUCAUGCCAAUGGCACUGCCCGGUAGCUAAAUGCGGAAGAGAUAAGUGCUGAAAGCAUCUAAGCACGAAACUUGCCCCGAGAUGAGUUCUCCCUGAGACUUAGAGUCUCCUGAAGGAACGUUGAAGA
RNAcentral lists this ribosomal RNA (848 nucleotides) under Salmonella enterica. RNAcentral describes it as "partial 23S ribosomal RNA". It matches the Rfam family "Bacterial large subunit ribosomal RNA", at positions 2002 to 2844 of the family's 2925-position model. Lineage: Bacteria; Pseudomonadati; Pseudomonadota; Gammaproteobacteria; Enterobacterales; Enterobacteriaceae. The record is from RNAcentral.